GACGAACGCUGGCGGCGUGCCUAAUACAUGCAAGUCGAGCGGACCAAAGGGAGCUUGCUCCUGGAGGUUAGCGGCGAACGGGUGAGUAACACGUGGGCAACCUGCCUGUAAGACUGGGAUAACAUCGAGAAAUCGGUGCUAAUACCGGAUAAUAAAAAGAACUGCAUGGUUCUUUUUUGAAAGAUGGUUUCGGCUAUCACUUACAGAUGGGCCCGCGGCGCAUUAGCUAGUUGGUGAGGUAACGGCUCACCAAGGCAACGAUGCGUAGCCGACCUGAGAGGGUGAUCGGCCACACUGGGACUGAGACACGGCCCAGACUCCUACGGGAGGCAGCAGUAGGGAAUCUUCCGCAAAUGGACGAAAGUCUGACGGAGCAACGCCGCGUGAGUGAUGAAGGUUUUCGGAUCGUAAAACUCUGUUGUUAGGAAGAACAAGUGCCGUUCGAAAGGCGGCACCUUGACGGUACCUAACGAGAAAGCCACGGCUAACUACGUGCCAGCAGCCGCGGUAAAG
RNAcentral lists this ribosomal RNA (513 nucleotides) under uncultured bacterium. RNAcentral's name for it is "bacterial SSU rRNA". It matches the Rfam family "Bacterial small subunit ribosomal RNA", at positions 28 to 525 of the family's 1533-position model. The record is from RNAcentral.